Molecule: long non-coding RNA, 1064 nt
Organism: Carassius auratus (goldfish)
Lineage: Eukaryota; Metazoa; Chordata; Actinopteri; Cypriniformes; Cyprinidae
Exons: 4
Source: RefSeq, a predicted model, not a curated record
UAAAGCAGAUGCAGGCCUUUCUAAAGAGCGCACAGAGUAAUAUAUGCAAUGAGGUUAGUAGAUUAACUUUACUGAAAGAUGCUGGACUGCUAGUUCAUCUGAUGGACGGUUCCAGCCGUCACCUCUUUACCAACCUGGACCUGCUCCUAAACAGAGAUCUGUCUGGGAAAGAGAUCUUCUGCCUUAUUAUGUGGGAAAAAGAUGUUUUUUCUUCAGAAUGACAUCUCCACGACUCUACAGAACAUCCUGCACUAUGAUGAGAAACAUGGACAUGGAGAGAGAGAGUGAAGCAAGACUUCAAGUGGUUCCCAGAUCUUUUUUUCCAGGAGACCCCUAGUCUUCACACUUCACUAGGGGAGAAGGAAACAGGAGAGUACAGAAGAUGGCAUUGCUGCCCCGGAGAACCAGCUCCUUCAGAAAUGAGUGUUUUGCUUUACAGUGAUGUAAACACAAAGGAAAUUACCAAUGGUUUGUUCAAAAGACUUCCCUCGGGAGAGGUAAACCCAGAUCAACAAUUAACACUUCACUACAAAUGCAGACAUGUAUGUGAUUAAAUGUAGCUGCUUUCAUUGUGUGAGUAUUCAAACAGAGAAUGAGGGAUUUUGUUUUCAUCAGAUGAAAGUUUGGUCUUCUUCAGAUUGUUUUACAGUGAGCAGUAUGUACCUGGUCUGCUGUGCUGGAAGGGUGUGUUAUCAGAGCGACAGGUGAGGGAAUGGCUGGAUGAGAUCCGGGAACCCUGCCAAAAUCCAGAUCCUACACACGUCACCGGUUUUCCUCUGAAGGGGACUUUUUAGUUGUCAAUAGCUUGAGGUCAGAGGUCAGUAAAAGUAAGCUAUGGAGAAUGUUCUCUGAACAUUGUGCUAUUUAUAUCUUCAAGCAUUCAAAUCUGAUUUUUCAAAUAUGUUUGUUUUUUUCACACCUGUCUACAACAAACUGUUGGUGAUCCGAUCAAAGUGAAAAUGCAGUUGAAUUGGAAACAAUUACCCAUGUAAAGACAUGUCAGAAUGUUUUUUAUUUUUUUAUUAAAUGGAACAAUUUAUUAAAAAUGUACUAACAUAAAGCAU